CGAAGGUGCCCCCUUUUCAGGCAGGGCUUCCUCCCUGAGAAUGUGCUCCUCUCCUGGUAUCUGCUUAUCUCCUGGAAUCUGAGACACAACAUAGAGCAACCCCCAGGCCAGCCAUGACUGGAGCCUCCCAAGUUGCAGGGAAGGGCCCUGUACUAGGCCAAGAACCUAUCCUGACCAGUU
This is a long non-coding RNA of Homo sapiens (human), 180 nucleotides long. The record is from Ensembl. NCBI's taxonomy places the organism in Eukaryota, Metazoa, Chordata, Mammalia, Primates, Hominidae.